AUGAAGUUUUAUUCUUGCUUGUUAUAUUUAUUUUGAUAUUAUUGAUAUAUGUAUAUUUUUGUGAAAUUGUUUUUGUGAAAUCUUAAUGGUAUUACAGGUAAUAUUUAAUUCGCAGUAUUUGAAAUUAUAAAUUUAGGAAAUUUUGAUUUAGUAAUUUUCUUAAAUAUUGAUUAAAUAUGUGCCAGCAGUCGCGGUUAUACAUAGGAUAUAAGUAAAUAUUGUUAGUUUAGGUAGUUAAUUUGUUUUAUUUGGGAUUAAAAGAUUUAUUGUGAGGUGGAAUAUUUAAUUUGUAUUAGGUUUAAUUUAAAUAUGUUGAAACUAUGAAAUCUGUUUAUUAGACUAGGAUUAGAUACCCUAUUAUUUUUGAUUUAAAAUUUAAUUAAAACUUGAGUAGUAAUAGUUAUGGUCUUGAAACUUAAAGAAUUUGGCGGUAUUUUAGUCUUUUUAGAGGAAUCUGUUCCUUUAUUCGAUAGUCCGCGUUGGAUCUUACUUAAUUUUUUAAUUUGUAUACCGCCGUUGUUGAUGAUCUUUGUAGAGAUAAUUUCUUGAAUAUUUUUGGAUAUAUUUUCAGGUCAAGGUGCAGUUUAUAAUUAAGUGGAAAUGGAUUACAUUAUUUUUAUAUAUACGGAUUAUUGAUUUUGAUAUUAAUAUAAAGGUGGAUUUAAAAGUAAUUUUGUUAAGAAUGUUAAUGUGAUUAUAGCUCUAAGAUAUGUACACAUCGCCCGUCGCUCUCAUUAUUUUAAGAUGAGACAAGUCGUAACAUAGUAGAUGUACCGGAAGGUGUAGCUAGAUUGAU
RNAcentral lists this non-coding RNA (796 nucleotides) under Lobopterella dimidiatipes. RNAcentral describes it as "12S ribosomal RNA". The stretch from base 389 to 789 matches the Rfam family "Microsporidia small subunit ribosomal RNA", at positions 752 to 1303 of the family's 1311-position model. Lineage: Eukaryota; Metazoa; Arthropoda; Insecta; Blattodea; Blattellidae. The record is from RNAcentral.